CCUACGGGCGGCAGCAGUGAGGAAUAUUGGUCAAUGGGCGCGAGCCUGAACCAGCCAAGUAGCGUGAAGGAUGACUGCCCUACGGGUUGUAAACUUCUUUUAUAAAGGAAUAAAGUGAGGCACGUGUGCCUGUUUGUAUGUACUUUAUGAAUAAGGAUCGGCUAACUCCGUGCCAGCAGCCGCGGUAAUACGGAGGAUCCGAUCGUUAUCCGGAUUUAUUGGGUUUAAAGGGAGCGUAGAGGGGUUGUUAAGUCAGUUGUGAAAGUUUGCGGCUCAACCGGAAAAUUGCCAUUGAUACUGGCAGUCUUGCGUACAGUUGCGGUAGGCGGAAUUCGUGGUGUAGCGG
This 346-nucleotide ribosomal RNA is filed under the name uncultured bacterium. RNAcentral's name for it is "partial 16S ribosomal RNA". It matches the Rfam family "Bacterial small subunit ribosomal RNA", at positions 338 to 681 of the family's 1533-position model. The record is from RNAcentral.